UAGGGAAUAUUAGUAAUGGGCGAAAGCCUGAACUAGCAACACCGCGUGUGCGAAGAAGGCCUUCGGGUUGUAAAGCACUUUUUGAGAGGAUGAGGAAGGACGGUACUCUCAGAAUAAGUCUCGGCUAACUACGUGCCAGCAGCCGCGGUAACACGUAGGAGGCAAACGUUAUCCGGAUUUACUGGGCGUAAAGCGCGUGUAGGUGGUUUGGUAAGUAGAGCGUGAAAGCUCCUGGCUCAACUGGGAGAGGUCGUUCUAAACUGCCGGACUAGAGGAUGGUAGAGGGAGGUGGAAUUCCGGGUGUAGCGGUGGAAUGCGUAGAUAUCCGGAGGAACACCAGUGGCGAAAGCGGCCUCCUGGGCCAUUUCUGACGCUAAGACGCGAAAGCUAGGGUAGCAAACG
This 402-nucleotide ribosomal RNA is filed under the name uncultured prokaryote. RNAcentral's name for it is "bacterial SSU rRNA". It matches the Rfam family "Bacterial small subunit ribosomal RNA", at positions 355 to 774 of the family's 1533-position model. The record is from RNAcentral.